This 440-nucleotide ribosomal RNA is filed under the name uncultured bacterium. Its description in RNAcentral is "partial 16S ribosomal RNA". It matches the Rfam family "Bacterial small subunit ribosomal RNA", at positions 338 to 795 of the family's 1533-position model. The record is from RNAcentral.
CCUACGGGAGGCAGUAGUGGGGAAUAUUGCACAAUGGGGGAAACCCUGAUGCAGCGACGCCGCGUGAGUGAAGAAGUAAUUCGUUAUGUAAAGCUCUAUCAGCAGGGAAGAAAAUGACGGUACCUGAGUAAGAAGCCCCGGCUAACUACGUGCCAGCAGCCGCGGUAAUACGUAGGGGGCAAGCGUUAUCCGGAUUUACUGGGGGUAAAGGUAGCGUAAACGGCAGUGCAAGGCUGGAGUGAAAGGCGGGGGGUCAACCCCCGGACUGCUCUGGAAACUGUACGGCUGGAGUGCAGGAGAGGUAAGUGGAAUUCCUAGUGUAGCGGUGAAAUGCGUAGAUAUUAGGAGGAACACCAGUGGCGAAGGCGGCUUACUGGACUGUAACUGACGUUGAGGCUCGAAAGCGUGGGGAGCAAACAGGAUUAGAUACCCUAGUAGUC